This 3642-nucleotide long non-coding RNA is filed under the name Homo sapiens (human). RNAcentral describes it as "HSALNT0371391". Lineage: Eukaryota; Metazoa; Chordata; Mammalia; Primates; Hominidae. The record is from RNAcentral.
UCCUUACAUUGUUGAAAACCACCCCACCAAAAAAACCAUUUUGCUUAUAAACAUUGAUAUUUAUUAGAAAUUAAAAUGGAGAAAUUUCAUGAUGUUGUUUCUCCAGUUUGUUGCAAUAUCACCUUUCCGGUAGCCUCCGGAAAUCUCCAUUCUGCAUUCAUGUGCUCAUGAGAAUGAAAUCAACAAAUAACACCUUAGUAUCCAUAUAGAGAUAUUUUGGCUUGUGUGGACCUCCUACAAGGGUCAUGGGAGCCCCGAGAGUUUGUGGACCUCACUUUGAGAAUCACUGUUCUACAUAAUUCCUGUGGCUGUUUUUAACACCAUGGGCUUCUGUCUUCCUCCUACCUUCCUGGCUCCUGCUUCUUGUUAGGUUUCCAAGGGAAGGUGAGGGUUAAAGACACACAUAGAGCGAGAGGGCGGCUCAACAGCAAAUGCAGGUAUUUAUGUCCAGGUAAACCUGCCGAGGUGGAGGACCAGCUUAAUGCCAGUGCCCACCACUGCUUACAGGCUGGGAUACUUGUAGGUAUGGCAGGGAGGGGUCUGGGCAGUAUGGCGUGCUGCCAGGGAAGAUGUUGAGAAGACGUUCCCACAAUGAGGCAGUUGGGGCCUUGUUCCCACAGAAUGUAAUAAUGAUGUUCCUUGGACUUUUUCUCAGCAGAAUGUGUUAAAGUCAGGCGGUUGGGCAGGCAGGUUCUCAUGGCCCGAACCCUCGUGGAAUGUUUCACUUUGACCAAGGUCUGCAUAUUGGCAGGGAGCUUACAAAAUGGUGCAUUUUGGAUUAACAGGUCUCAGUCUUGGGCUCCUCGUUGUCUGACAGAUCCUAAAUCUUGGCCCCUGCUGUUCCAGGUUCUCUUCUCAUCAUGCAUGUUCUCUGGGUAAUUUCAUUCACUCCUAAGGCUUAAAACAUCAUCUCUCUGCUGAAGGCUUCUAAAUCUCUUUCCCUAGCUCGGAGCCCUUUUCUGAGAUUCAGAUCCAUGUGUAGUUUGAUCUGGUGGGCACUGGUACUUUUGUAUUCCACAGGUAUCUUUGGCAACUAUCUACUUCUUUCUAUCUUCAGGGCUAUUCUUUCAGGGUCAUUCUAGCAGUCCCUAGCAGAGUUUACUGUCCUUGUCCCCGCCUGCUUUUGGUCCAUUCUCCAUCAUUGUAGAGAGAUAUAUUUAAUCAAAUCUUCUCAUUCAUGAUUAGGUCAUGUCAGUGCCUUUCCAUUAGUCUUUGGAUAAAGGCUAAGCAUUUUAAAAUGCUUAAUGGCUUUUUGUGAUAUGACUCUUACCUAAAACUCUCCAGCUUGUGUUUUGCAGUUUGUCCCUUCUCUUGAACUUCAUCUUUCAGUCACACUGAACUUUCAGGCUCUCCUAAUGGCUAUGUGUUCUCAUCCUCUGGGCAUUUACCUCUGCUGUUCCAGGAAAUGGUCUUCAACAUCUUCAGAUACCUAGAAGGUUUGCCCCUCAGUGGGAAGAAAGCUUCCAACUCCCAGCGGUUCCAGCAGAAGUCCUGGGGCUGGAGAGCUGUUCCUGAGUUGCCUGUGAUCACAUACCACACCUGAUGGCAUCACUGUAUCCAGGCUCCAGGUGCAUAGAAUGUUGUGAGGUCAUGACUGCCAGCAUUAUGACCAGUCUUGGAACUAGGAUUGGGGUGGGGUUCAUCCCACCCAGACCACAGAGACUGAAAAUAAGAAAGGGGUGAGGCCUAAGGGACAAUCAGGAUGUUUUUCAGAGAGAAGUGUGGAUGCUGGACAGGAAGAACCACAGAUACCAGAUACGGGUACUGUUGUAACUCUGUUCUCCAUGAAAAGACAUACUUUAUUCAGCUGGGUGCUGAAAAAGAAUCUUGGAAAUUAGGAAACUGAAUGAGGCCUCAUUUCACACUCAGAAUGUGGGUUGCAAUAGUCACUUCCUCUGCUGCUGGGAAAGAAAGAAUUAUACUACCUUUUGAAUUUUGGAUUAAGGAGAGAGGUGUUGGCUUGUCAAACUACCAUGUAUUCCUCAAGACAUAUUUUUGUGGCUUUAUAAAAUUCAAUAUAUAUGUCUAAAUUCAAAAAUAUUUUGUUGCAAUCUGGCCCUUGGACAAACUGAGGCCCUAGCAACUGAUGUUUAUGGCUUUCCGUAGAACCUUUCAGAUAAAAUUUACACAGCAUUUUACUGCAGCUAUUUCACACAAAGCAGAGGAUUUUGCCACAAAACUGAAAGAAAAAAGAAACUGCAUUCUUAAAUUUUUCAUAAAUCAAAAGGUAUAAAAAUAUCUACCUAAACGAUAAAGGAGAUGAGAAACCCCACCCAUGAUGGGAAGAAAGCCUAUUUCAGUUUUGCCUUUACUUCAAGUUCUUUUUUCCAUAUCUGGAAUGCAAUCAGAAUUUUAAUCUUGCCUUGGGUUCCUCCUGGAUUUGGGGAGAAGACAAAACCUGAAAAUCUCUAAUCUGCAUGUGUUCAGCUGCGUAUCUUCUGGAUACGGAAGGAUCACACUGCACAGAGUGCUGGACUUGCAGGAGCCCCGCUUCUCAACCUCCAUCGCUUUAUGAAUGAAUUCACCAGAAAGAAAAGGAAGAAUCAACACUUUCAGAGAUGGAGCCUGUUGAGCCACAGUACCAACUAGUCAAUGCUGAAUCGACUUCUCCCUUUCUACAUUGCCUGAGAGAAGUCAUUGGGGAAUACUCUGUACACGAAUUUUCACUGUUGGGGAAAACAGAGAGUCAAGGGAUUGGAUUGUGGAUUGCAUUGGUGGUUUUCCUCAGUUUCCUCAUCUUCUCCACAAGUUUCUACAUAUCGAAUGCAGAGCAGCCCUUCUUCAAAGGACCUCCUACGGAAGCUGCUAAGGAACUCAGUCUGUAGCUCUGCGUGGAGCCAUGUGUAAACACUGAACUGAGACCUGCCACCUCCUACUACCUAAGGGCCCAUUUUCAUCUGAUAUCAUCCCCCAGAAACAAACUCAUGAUGACUUCCAUGUUUUUUUUAGAUUAGAUACAUGGAGAAUUUUCCUUUCCCUUAGAAUUAAAAUCCUGCAUUCUAAUUUUCAGGUAAAACUUUUUCGUCUCUACAGAACUCUCUCCAAGUGCACACCCAUAGAUUGGUUUGCUUGUGGAAUCCUAGCAUAUCAGAAAUGAAGGAAUCUCAGAAAUUGUUUUCAUCAAACACCUCAUAUGCAGAAGGCAAAAUGAAGGUUCAGAGCAGAAAUGAUUUGUCCAAGGAUGCAACACUCAUCUGCAGCAGAGGGAAGCUGAGCUCUGCAGACCCACCUAGCACUGCAGAGGCAGCCCUCUAGGACAAGGCUUCAUAAAAAAGUGACUUUAUGAGUUGGCUCCAUAAAAAAGAUACAGAUUAAGAAAUUGUUUAAACAGUGAUCUCUAUAUAAUUACUCUUUUAUUUAAAAGUAUGGGCUGGGAGCGGUGGCUGACGCCUGUAAUCCCAGCACUUUGGGAGGCCGAUGUGAGCAGAUAACCUGAGGUCGGGAGUUAGAGACCAGCCUGACCAACAUGGAGAAACUCCGUCUCUACUAAAAAUACAAAAUUAGCAGGGUGUGGUGGUGCAUGCCUGUAAUCCCAGCUACUCGGGAGGCUGAGGCAGGAGAACUGCUUGAACCCAGGAGGCAGAGGUUGUGGUGAGCCGAGAUCGCGCCAUUGCACUCCAGCCUGGGCAACAAGAGCGAAAC